Molecule: long non-coding RNA, 888 nt
Organism: Leopardus geoffroyi (Geoffroy's cat)
Lineage: Eukaryota; Metazoa; Chordata; Mammalia; Carnivora; Felidae
Exons: 3
Source: RefSeq, a predicted model, not a curated record
UCACCCGUACAAUUCUUCAAGCUAGAUGCUAUAUGCCUGUUUUACAGAUGAGGAAACUGAGGCAUCUAGAGAGAGAGGAAGUGCCUUGCCUUGCAGAUGGCAGUGCCAGUGUUCAAACUCAAGCCUGUCUGACUCAAGAUUCAUGUUCUUUCUGUUGUGUCCACAGCCUUGAUUUAAAGAUGUGCCUAUGAAACUGUCACCCCAAUCAACAUGACCUUAGAUCUUACCCAAGAGACUUGUCCAGGAUCAUAUAUCAGGGACCACUGGCUGCCACACUUGUCCUUGAACCUCUGCAACCUCCAGCUGUGCCUGCUGACAAUGAAGACCUGCUGCCUUUGUGCUGACUUCCUUGUACAGCUCUGAAAGUCCCCCAAAAGCUGUGUGAUUAUUCUUUCUUUGUGUGCCAGCCUCACCCCAAGGACGGGAGUGUCCAGAGGGCAGGGACUUGCUGUCAUUAUGAGCAUCCUCCAGUCUUCCACACUUGUGCCCAACAGGCAUGAGUCAACUGGGCACGUUGAUGCAUCAGUUCAUUUUUCCUACCGGGAAGCAUUCAGGGGUGUUGCAAGAUGCUUAUACCUUUCAGUUUUGUUUGGGACAGUGGCCCCAGCCCCUGAGCCAACCCCAUUAGGUUCUGGUUGUAGGGCUGGCAGAAACUGGUAGGGGCACUGGCUGCCCCCUGGGGAAUUGUGCUGUUAUACAGGACAGUAGGAGUGGUGAAAUCAGGAAGCCCAGGUCAGAAAGCAAUGAAAUGCUGGCCAGAACACAUGGUCCUAAAAGGGAAAAUCAAUCACACAGUGGGCUCAGAAGAUUUCAGAAAGUGGAGCUUGAGGGGAACCUGGGUGGCUCAGUUGGUUAAGCGUUUGACUCUUGAUUUCAGCUCAGGUCAUG